GGCCAAACGUUGAAACACCGAUUCUCAUACAAUCACCGAAGUUAAGCAACGUCGAGUCUGGUCAGUCCCUAGAUGGGUGACAGUUUGGGAAUACCAGGUGUUGGAA
This is a non-coding RNA of Acanthosepion pharaonis, 106 nucleotides long. The record is from the annotation of a GenBank genome assembly. Lineage: Eukaryota; Metazoa; Mollusca; Cephalopoda; Sepiida; Sepiidae.